Molecule: long non-coding RNA, 1119 nt
Filed under: Coturnix japonica (Japanese quail)
Lineage: Eukaryota; Metazoa; Chordata; Aves; Galliformes; Phasianidae
Description: lncRNA (ENSCJPG00005017411.1)
Source: RNAcentral
CCUACAUGUAAAACAGGGCACGCGUGACUCUAUACAGCCCCAAAUGCAGCAGAGGUAUACGUGGGAGAGAUUUAGGUGUUAACAGCAUCAUCCAGUUCAGUUUCUAUGUGGAUGUUCUUACAUCCAGCAUGGCCUGCCUUAACCCCCUAACAUGGAACUGUGUAGCCACGUGCCUGCUCGGAGUUUCUCUGUGAUGUGACUACUGUCCCUACACCAGAUGGUGGCAAAGGAGGAUGGCAAACUCUCCUCCUGCGGGAAAUGGCAGCAGAGAACUGAAUCUACCAUGCAGGUUUACUUUCACUGUAGUGCAUCAGCCUGUGUCUCAGCUACUAUGAAUCCUAACCUUCUGAGAGCUUUCUGGCAGAGACAACAUAUCUGGCAAGAACAACAGUGUGAAAUGAAGAUAAAUGAAGAAUAUGGGCACAUGAAUCUUAAGAAGUAGCCUGGGUUGAUCUUAUUCAGAGGAAGGUUUUCAGCUAUUUGUAGUAUUUUCCUCAGCUCGUAACAGCAGCAGCAACAACAUAUGUAGCAACUCUAAUAAUCAGUAGAGGAGAGAAAACCUGCGGUUUCUAUGUCAGCCUAGGGCUUAACAGAGCCUGGUUCCUUCCUUCUCCCGUAAACUUGUGUUUAACCUUGAAAUAGAAGAGACAUCCUGUGCCUUUACUUCAGCGUCUCGAGCAUGUUUUGACAAGUGUCUCAGAGCAUGUAUGCAGUUCCCCACUUUUGCAAGCAACUUUGAUUCUGCUGUAUGUAUUUUAAUACCAGCAUGGUAUUAGUCAGGUUUUAAUUGGCACAAUCUGCGUCACUUCACCUUUGUCCAAGUAAACUUCACACAGGAGAUGUGAAUAUAUUCUUUCCCGUAUUUGGAAGGCAUUAAAGGAAAUCACCUCCAAUCUGAUUCCUAAUCAAUGGAGCAAAGACACCUGCCCAUACAGAGAUUAUUUUGGGGGAAAUUCAGGUUUGAUCUCUUGAAUCAAAUGAUCCCUUCAAGAGAAGUUCAGUAAAAUAGAAUUGCGCUGUAUUAUCAAGCUAUGAGUCAAAUCUAGAGAAGAGACAAGUAUAGAUGAGCCACAGGUCAUGGAUUCCCUUUUUUUCCUACAAGAAAUUCUUGAAUAUGUU